AUGGCCUCUGGGCUGAGCUGGCUUCUCCUGGUGGCUGUGUUAGGAGGGGUCCAGUGUGAGGUGCAGCUGGUGGAGUCUGGGGGAGACUUGGUGCAGCCUGGGAGGUCCCUGAGACUCUCUUGUACAGCCUCUGGAUUUAAUUUUGGCAACUAUUAUAUGAGCUGGGUCCGCCAGGCUCCAGGGAAGGGCCUAGAGUGGAUUUCAUAUAUCAGUGGUAGUGGUGAUGCUAUAAGCUAUGUCGACUCUGUGAAGGGCCGAUUCGUCACCUCCACAGACAACAGCAAGAACACACUCCAUCUGCAAAUGAGCAGCCUGAGGGAGGAGGACACGGCCCUGUACUACUGUGUGAGAAACACAGUGAGGGGAAGGCCCUGUGGGCCCAGACAAAAACCACCUACAGGAGGAAGCAGGGUGAGCUUCAGGGGCACAGGCCCCCAGGAGGCUCUGAGGACUCCACCUGAGGAAACGUUGCUCAUGACUAGACAAAUCAUGUUUCUGUGGAGAUCAGGACUGAACUGCCCCUAA
Non-coding RNA from Sorex araneus (European shrew), 525 nucleotides. NCBI's taxonomy places the organism in Eukaryota, Metazoa, Chordata, Mammalia, Eulipotyphla, Soricidae. The record is from the annotation of a RefSeq genome assembly.